This 85-nucleotide transfer RNA is filed under the name Felis catus (domestic cat). It matches the Rfam family "tRNA". Rfam says of the family: Transfer RNA (tRNA) molecules are approximately 80 nucleotides in length. Their secondary structure includes four short double-helical elements and three loops (D, anti-codon, and T loops). The record is from Rfam by way of RNAcentral. RNAcentral also lists the same sequence under 4 other names. Lineage: Eukaryota; Metazoa; Chordata; Mammalia; Carnivora; Felidae.
GCCUGGGUGGCUCAGUUGGUUAAGCUUCUGACUUCCGCUCAGGUCACGAUCUCACGGUUUGUGGGUUUGAGCCCCAUGUCGGGCU